This 160-nucleotide unclassified non-coding RNA is filed under the name uncultured Exophiala. Its description in RNAcentral is "sequence contains ITS2". Lineage: Eukaryota; Fungi; Ascomycota; Eurotiomycetes; Chaetothyriales; Herpotrichiellaceae. The record is from RNAcentral.
UCACCCCUCAAGCCCUGGCUUGGUGUUGGAUCAGGUCGUGUGAGCGACCGGUCCCAAAGACAAUGACGGCGUCCGUGGGACCCUCGGUGCAAUGAGCUUUCACGAGCACGCACCCGAGUUGCAAGGUCCUGCAGCCCGGCUUCCUUUUAUAUUUAUCUAA